This is a non-coding RNA of Bemisia tabaci, 625 nucleotides long. Lineage: Eukaryota; Metazoa; Arthropoda; Insecta; Hemiptera; Aleyrodidae. The record is from RefSeq and is a predicted model, not a curated record.
UUUCAUUGGAUUUUCUCUACAAAGCGAAGUUGAACACAAGCAGUUCUUGGUCAUGUUCAAGGUGGUAAUUCCUCUACAUAGUGACUACUAGUGUCGGCGGCUAUAGCAUCCCUAACUUGCUUACUGUGUUUUCUAUUUUUUGAAGACUGAUCUGCCUUUAACUCGUCAGAGGACUGUUUAAAUACUGACCCAGAACAUCCAGUUGAAAAGAGAUGGGCAAAGAAAAUUUGAAUUCCCAAAUAAAUUGGGAAGCAUUGUUGGCUAGUGGAGUGCCAAUCAGCUUUGACUUCAACAUCAUGGAUCAUGUACCUGAUGGUAACUACACCUAUGUUCUUGUGGAUACCUCUGAUUCUUUUUCGCUUCAAAAUUUUCCGCAAGAUCCACCUUACCAAGAUCCAGUCGUUGACUUAACAAAACUAGUUCUUCUGCUCUUCCUGUACAAGACUCAAUUUUUCAAGAUCCAGUUGUUGAUCUUACCAAACCUACUUCUUCUAGUCUGACUCUACAAGAAUUGAUUUUUCAAGACCUUCUUGUUGAACAUACCAAACCUAGUUCUUCUAUUUUACAAACUUCUCCUCUAUCGUCCCAAAAUUCUGUUAAAAUUGACUCUCCUAAAUUGAAAAAA